CAUGCAGGUGGCUGAGUAAGUCGAAUGUGAAACGCCCCGGGCUCAACUCGGGAACUGCAUCCGAAACUACUUGGCUAGAGUCCCGGAGAGGAAGGCAGAAUUCCCAAUGUAGGGGUGAAAUCCGUAGAUAUUGGGAGGAAUACCAGUGGCGAAGGCGGCCUUCUGGACGGUGACUGACACUCAGAUGCGAAAGCGUGGGGAGCAAACA
This 208-nucleotide ribosomal RNA is filed under the name uncultured bacterium. Its description in RNAcentral is "partial 16S ribosomal RNA". It matches the Rfam family "Bacterial small subunit ribosomal RNA", at positions 568 to 774 of the family's 1533-position model. The record is from RNAcentral.